Salmo salar (Atlantic salmon) is the source of this 72-nucleotide non-coding RNA. The record is from Rfam. NCBI's taxonomy places the organism in Eukaryota, Metazoa, Chordata, Actinopteri, Salmoniformes, Salmonidae.
GGUUCUAUGGUGUAAUGGUUAGCACUUUGGACUUUGAAUCAAGUGAUCAGAGUUCAAAUUUCGGUAGAACCU